This 3226-nucleotide long non-coding RNA is filed under the name Nicotiana tabacum (common tobacco). Its description in RNAcentral is "long non-coding RNA (NTAB_LNC009143)". Lineage: Eukaryota; Viridiplantae; Streptophyta; Magnoliopsida; Solanales; Solanaceae. The record is from RNAcentral.
ACGAGCGAUUAACAAAAUCGCACAUAUAGGUCUCCGGCCAGCUUUUUCCCCAGAUAACUGCUCUUCUUCCCCAGGUAUCUUCGCUUUUUACUCAGCAGAUGCGAUUAACAGUUGAGUUUGGAUUGUGCUGCUCGAUUAUGCUCUAUCGCCGUUGUUAGUAUUCUCUGUUUUAUCCGUUUCCCACUUCUCUUUUCGUGUAGGUUUCAAGAUUGUUGCAGAACUCAUUCUUCUCCUUCAAUUUCUUGUCUUUAUCGGCAAAACAAUCUGCUUACCAGGUACAAAUUUGUGCCUUCAACUGUUGCGAUUUGAGAUUUGCGAAAGUACAGUUUUUUCUGCAUAUGCGAGUCAUUUGUGAUAUCCGACUGCUGUUAAAUUGACGUGCGAUGAUUGGGUUUAUUCCUCCUCUGUUCCUUGACUGUUGUAUGAUUUUGUUCCUCUGUUUUCUGCUAUUCUUGUGAUUAUUCAGAAAUUUUAUAAGUGUCGUCGAUGCAUAUUGAUGUUUUCAUUGAAUCUACCACUAGUCGAGAUAUGAAUUCCUCUAUAUGUUUUCUGUUAUUCUUUUCAUUGUUCAGAAAUUUUAAGUGUCAUCGAUGCAUAUUGAUGUUUUCAUUGAAUCUACCACUAGUCGAGAUGAAUUCCUCUGUAUAUUUUCUGUUAUACUUGUGAUUGAUGUUUUCAUUGAAUCUACCACUAGUCGAGAUGAAUUCCUCUUUAUAUUUUCUGUUAUACUUGGGAUUGUUCAGAAAUUUUCUAAGUGUCAGUCGAUGCAUAUUGAUGUUUUCAUUGAAUCUACCACUAGUCGACAUAUGAAUUCCACCAUGUUCAAAAUAUUUGCCCGAGUAUGACAUAUAUAUUGUCUUCUAUUGUUUUGUUAGUUGAUGGUUUAGUGCGUCGUUAGGCUUAUUGCUGGUUUUUUACUUAUUACAAAGUGAGUUUUUGUGGCUAAAAGGUUCUGAAAACUAUUUUACAUCUUUUAGUCCUCCUUCUUGCCCUUUCUCGAGUUGGGGGUUCUGUUCUUCAGAAAUUGAUGGUCUACAUAGUGUUUUCAAAACGUUGAAUUUGGUACUAUGCUUUAAGCCAAGUUGAGAUGGAUUGAACUAGAUUUCACGUCGAUCACGUUAUGGGCUGAAACGACCAACAUAUCAUAUUAUGCACAAUCUUGGUUGUUGCCGAAUUAGGGUAUAUUGUGUCUACUUUAACUUUCAACUUGCAUACAAGAUCUACAUCAGGUCUAGUUCUAGUUAAUAAAUAAUCACUAGUCAGAUUAUGAGGCUAUAUCUGUCCUAAAACUUCAUAUGGCCAACAGGUAAACUCCAGCUUCGUGGGUGCUCCAAAGUGUAACUACAAUCACUAAUAGCUAAAUUGUCGAAGCUACAUCUGAUGGACAGAUAAAUCUAGAUUAUUACUUUUUGAGUUAGCAAACAAUCAGAGAGCAUAGCAACCAACAGCUUAAAUUGCUUGUCUCAUUUUACUAGCAUAGUGUGUGAGAUGCACGUAAAAACUUUAUGGCAUUGGUUACAUAAUUGAACUCUCAUGACUGAAGGUGUUUAAAGGGGAUAGGAUAGACCUAAAAUCUCGUGAAAGGAAGUCUCCUCAAAUACUUGCAAUCUCUGGGAGUUCAUACUAAGCAAACAAAAAGAAUGCAAUGGAAACAAAAAAUCCACAUACAGGAUUAAAGCUUAGUCGUGUCCGUCACUUACAUGUUAUGUUAAUAAUCUUUGUAGUGUAUUUAGAGAUUUGUACAGGGAGUUUCGUGUAUUUAGAGAUUUGUACAUGGAGUUUCUAGUUUUGGAGAACUCUGAUCUAAUGGAGUAUCCGAAUGAAACAUGUCAAAAUGGAGCGAAAACAUAGACUUAGGAUUCAUGUAGCUGACCCUAACUAGUUUGAGAUUGAAGAUGAACAAGACUGUUUUUUGUUGUACAACAACAUAGAUGAUUUUUCCUCUCUUAAUUUGCAGCUCAAGGUACAAAAUAAGUGAUUCCAGUAGUGUAAUAAUCAUCCAUAGAGUUAGUCCCUUACUCCCUUUAUCACUAGCAUCAGCCAACUGCCUAUUUUUUGCCUUUCUCUGCACAAACAUUUACAUAUCUGAUAUUGAGUAAUUCAACUAUCUUGUCGUCGUUUUUAGAGCGCUUUCUUGGUGUCUGAUCAUUUGCUUCACGCAGCCGACAAUAUGCUCAGGCUCAGCUAAUGAUGCCAUCUUUCUGAUUUCUUGCAUAAUUGUUGGUUUCAAUUUCAUAUACAUGAGAAAGAUAAAAAAUUUUAUAGAGGAAUGAUUCCCUUGUUUGAGAAAAACAUUUGUGUACUAUUCCCAAUUUUGGGAGAGCACAAUGAUCAAAUUCUAAUUUUUUCACACAAAUUGAAGUAUAUCAUUGAGGUCUAUGAGACCAGGAAAGACUGGAUUCUCUUUACCAUAAGAGAAUGACUUUAUGUAUUAAAUUUUUUUUAUAAUUUUAAACAAGAUUUGUUGGGUCCCAAACUGGAAAACUGAAUCGAGAAAAGAAAAACUGAACAAAACAGCUAUUGUCGAAUAACUGAGAAGAGAUAGAAGAGAAGAAUGAGAUAAACGAGUAUAUCCAGAACUUUGUUCUUUGUUGUACAAUAAUCUUUGAGCUAUGGAAUUACAUACUAAUAGGAUGGUUAUUUUACUACAUUUUGAUUAAUUCCCUCUUUUUACUAACGAAUUUUUAGCUCUUGCAGUAAAGUGUAGAAAAGAAAAGAAUAUCUUGAACGUCAUGGACAAUCCUAGAAAUAAAAGAUGGAUGCAUUGUGAUAGAGUUAGUAAAGAAUAUUUGGAUGGAGUAGAUGAUUUUAUAAACCAUGCCUUUUCUGACAUAACGGACCUAUGAAAAUUUUCAGAACUGGAUUCCGACCCCGAUAUCAAAAAGUCAACUCCCCAGUCAAACUUCCAACUUAAACUUCAUAUUUUCGCCAUUUCAAGCCUAAUUUAACUACGGGCUUCCAAAUAAUUUUUCGGACAUACUCCUAAGUCCAAAAUCACCAUAUGAAACUAUUGGAAUAAUCAAAACUCUAUUCUGGGGUCGUUUACUCAAAAGUCCAACUCUGGUCAACUCUUUUCAUUUAAGCUUCAAAAAUGAGAAUUGUUCUUUCAAUUUAAUCCCGAAUCUUUCGAAAACCAAACUCGACCACACCUGCGAGUCAUAAUACAUAUUACGAAGCUGCUCGAGACCUUAAGUCACUGAACGGGUCGUAAAUUCUUAAAACGACA